Molecule: ribosomal RNA, 404 nt
Filed under: Fusobacteriota bacterium
Lineage: Bacteria; Fusobacteriati; Fusobacteriota
Description: Fusobacteria bacterium partial 16S ribosomal RNA
Rfam family: Bacterial small subunit ribosomal RNA
Source: RNAcentral
UGGGGAAUAUUUCACAAUGGGCGAAAGCCUGAUGCCGCGACGCCGCGUGAGUGAAGAAGUAUUUCGGUAUGUAAAGCUCUAUCAUCCGGGAAGAAAAUGACGGUACCUUACUAAGAAGCCCCGGCUAACUCCGUGCCAGCAGCCGCGGUAAUACGUAGGGGGCAAGCGUUAUCCGGAUUUACUGGGUGUAAAGGGAGCGUAGACGGCGAAGCAAGUCUGAAGUGAAAACCCAGGGCUCAACCCUGGGACUGCUUUGGAAACUGUUUUGCUAGAGUGUCGGAGAGGUAAGUGGAAUUCCUAGUGUAGCGGUGAAAUGCGUAGAUAUUAGGAGGAACACCAGUGGCGAAGGCGGCUUACUGGACGAUAAAUGACGUUGAGGCUCGAAAGCGUGGGGAGCAAACAGG